This is a long non-coding RNA of Marmota monax (woodchuck), 5448 nucleotides long. RefSeq lists it as uncharacterized. The transcript is spliced from 2 exons. The record is from RefSeq and is a predicted model, not a curated record. Lineage: Eukaryota; Metazoa; Chordata; Mammalia; Rodentia; Sciuridae.
GCUCAGUCCCUGGCUCAGUCCUUCAGCAUCACCAUCAUGCUCAGGGCUCUGGGGAACAGACUGGACCCAGCUCUUCCCUACCCAAGGUGGCCCACAGCCCUAGCUGUCACCUGCUGGGACUCCCCACCCCCUUCCACCCUGGCCCACAGGAAUCAGCAGGGAGAGGUGGGACUUGGGGCUCCCUGGGGCUUCUUGGGUUUCAUGUUCCUUGUGGGUGGCCCAGGAGUCCACUCCCUGGGCCCUCCUUCCUGUGUCUACAGGAGGCCUGCUGGCCACCCACCUCAGCACACCCUCAGGGCUGGGGUGAGGCAGGUGGUCACAGACACAGGACACAGGUCUCCCACCAAGACCAGGCCGAGCUACUCCCCACCCCAGCUCGGUGGCAGCAGCAGGAGUCCAAGAGGGCAGCCUCCCAGAGCUGAGCCCCCACUGCCGAGUGCCCUCUGCGACCCAAGUCUCCAGGGUGCUACUGUCUCAGGUGUGUCAUCCCCAGAUCGAGCUUCCCCACAAGAGAGUCCAGCAGCCUGUCUGGAAGUCCCCUGUGACAUUUCCCCUUUCUUCUUGUAGGGAGUAUCCGGGGAAAUGUGGGUGUUUGGAACCCACGUGGUUGAACGGGGUCCUGGAGGGUGUGAGGAUGGGGUCCUGAGGCACCCAGGCCCCUCCCCUCCUCUGCCUCCAGGCCAGCCUCCACCUCCCUUGCCCUGUGCAGCCCAGGACGCCUGCCCAGUGGGGCUGAGAGACAGGCCUGGCUCCUCCCUCCUGGCCCGGUCCAGUGAAGGAGCGCAGUCUGAAGGUCAACUUCUGGUGCUGCGGGCUCUGGGAUGUGCAGCUAAUGCCACCUGGGGCUCUGGAGGGGAGAUAGGUGCCUUCAAGGUGGGAGGGCAGGGGUGGAGCAGACAGAGGUACUGGGGUCCACCCUGAGGAGGCACGACUAGUCCUCGACCCUAAGAGGGGUGCUUGGUGCCCAUGGGGGCCAGAGCACCAACCCCCUCUGUGCUGGAGAGACUUGGUCCAGCUUGGAGGCUGUAGAGGAGGAUGGACCAGGGUGGACCUGGCAGAGGAGUCCGGCCACCCAGGUGGGAACUGCUGAGAGACAAGGCAGCACGCGGAGGGCAGCUCCAGGAUGUCCAUAGCGGACCGUCCAGCUCCCACAGCAGAGGGUGGAGGUAGACAGAGAAGCUGACUCUGCAGAGGGACGGGGGUGCAAGACACAUGGUCAGGAGGCUCUGAGAGCUGGGGCAGCCUGGGACUUCCCAGCGGUCAGGCGACUGCUGGAAACCCAGCCUGUUCCUCACGGCGGAACGCGGUGACGCAGGCCGGUUCCCAGCUGGGGAACCCAAGCUCCAGGUCAGGACGUCUGCCAGCUCGGACAUCUCAGCUGCGUCUCAAGCUCACCUUUCCGGAGACCCUUGGUCCUCCUCUCCCUGCUUGUGCCUUGGCAGGAACUGGGAGCCAGGGACCAGCCCCCCCACCUGCCACCUCUGGGCUCCAGGAUCCCACCUGCAGGACAUUCCCCAACCCCCUGGCCCCACCUCUGCUGCUCUGCUCUCUGGAGUCCCAGCAGUCGGCUGCGACUCCAGCCACACGCUGCCCUCUCCCUGACCUCAGGGGCCUCUCGGGAGCUCCUGUCCCUGGCCCCUGGGCUCUCCUCUGCUCAGGCCCCACUGCCACGCCCGCUGCAGGGCCUGCACACUCCCCUUGGGUGAACACCCAUGCUCCCGCAACCCAGGUCGGGACACAGCCGUGACCCUAGGUGCCAGACACGACCUCCUCACACGGAGGCCCAGGCCUUCCUGCCCAGGGGGACCUGAGAAGAGGUUCCAGAGCCAAGCAGCUGCUCCACACCACCCCAGGCAGCUCUGGGCGCAGGUGGAGGCGCUGGAAGGGACCCCAGGUCAGGCUCCUCCUGCCUCCUUACUAGACGUGUGGACUCCUGAGCUGUGGACAGGACCUGGGCACAGGGGAGAGCCACAGAUCGCUGCAGCAAGGAAGACUUUUUGGGCUUCGGGGCCCCUGUACUCCGAGUUGGGCAAGCACAGCCAGAUGCCCUGUGCCCAGGGGGACGGUGUCCCUGUGGACAGAGGAAGAGAAAGCCGCAGGAGGAGGGCCAGGACAGCACAGAGGGGAGUGUCCCCGACCAGCUGCACAGCAGGGACCCACCGGAGGCGGACUGUGGCCUGGGACUCCCCGAACGCUGUCAGGGUACUGCCCACUGGGCAGUGAUUUGGAGGACCAGUCCUCGUGGCCCCAGGGAGCAUGUGACCUGUGACCUUCAUCACCUCUCUCAAGCCCCCGCCUCUUAGGACAGCCUUCCCUCUCCCCUGUUCAGGCCUCCACCUGCCAACACCAGGUGGACAUCCAGGAGGACAUGGGCCAGUGUGGAGGAAUAGAACCGUCCAAAAUGAACUUCAAAUAGAAGGAAGAAGAAGCGGCACGUCCUCGAGGAGCCCCUGGACAAGGUGGGGCGUGGAACACCAGUGGACCUGGAGUCCUCCGCCGCCCCCCCAGGAAGGGAGGGAGACCACCUGAAACAACAGCAGCAGUGAUUUUUCUAAAACCAAAGAAACCCACCACCCACCAGCCAAGGACAAAUACAGGAAUGCACAGCCAGACAGGCGACAGGCAAGCGCUGAGCACAGCACUCAGGCCACUUGCACACCCAGAGCCGAGAUGAGAUGAGGCUGCAGGGACUUCCCCACACGGCCUUGGAAUUUUGCACACGGUGCACCCGCUGGUCAAGGAUGGAGUUAGAGGAAGACACAUGACUUGGACUUCACGACUUAAGCGCAGAAGCUGCCGCGUCACCUGCAGACUUUCAUUGCAAGUAAAUAGACUUUCCUCAAACACAAGUGAGUUGCCACAAAAACACUGCUAAGCUGGGCUUCUGGGCUUCAAAGUAUGAUGUUAAAGAAAUGAAAGGCAAACCACACGCUGCGGGGGAAUGCAGUUCAUAAAUCUUGUAUCCAAAAAAAUAUACAUUUAACAAACUCUUACAGCUCAAUGAGAAGAGAUGUCAGUCAGCUUUCAGUACUGUAAGACGAUACCUGAGAUAACCAUCUUAAAAAGAGGAAAGUUUUCUUCUGGCUGGAAGCUUCGGUUCAUGGCCGAUUGACCCUGUUGCUUUGGGUCUGUGGUGAGAGUCCCUCAUGGGAUGACCACGUGGCAGGGGAAGCUUCUCAGCUCAUGGCAGCUGGGAAGCAAAGAGAGAGCGGAAAGGCUGGGGUCUCCAUACCCUUCCACAGCACAUGUCCAUGACCCAACCCUCUCCUAGAGGGUCCCAGCUCCUAAGGUCCACCACCUCCCUUUGGCACCACCCUGAGGACCAAGCCUUGAGCAUGUGGCCUUUGGGGGCCAUUCCAGAUCCAAACAGACCAUUUUUUUAAAUAGGCAAAAGGUUGAAGAAGACACAGAGAGAGCUCAGGACACUGGCUCCACAUGGUGGGUGAGGAGGGAAAUACGAAUCAAAGCCACCGCGACACACCCACGUAUGUGUCACAAGGGUGUGGCGUGGGGGAGCCUUCAGGUGCUGCUGGUGGAAUGUAAAGAGGUGCAGCGGCUUUUAGCAAUGUUCUGGCAAAUUCUCACAGACCCGCCUUUGUCUGAGCCAGCGAUUCCACUCCUCAUAUGCAAACAAGCAAAGGUGAAUGACUUGUGGGAGGAGUUUGCAGCAUCCUGAUUCCUAACUACCGAGAACUGGAAACUUCCCCAGAGCCAGCCGCAGAGAACAGGUUAACCACUGACCCUUUGCUCAGCAGUAAGGGAAGAGCGAGCUGUGGGCAUGCUCGGUACCCCGCAAGAAUCUGGAUGCGGAGCCGAGUGAGGACGCCACACGCCAGGCAGCCGGGCUGUGCUUAUGUGAGACCAGAGAGCACAGCCAACAGAGCACGGUCCAUGCCCGGGCUGGGCACUGGCUGGGAGGGCUGAGCGGACAGCAAGGACAGACGGGACAGCUGCACCAGACCUUAUGCCCACAGCCCUGGCAGCUGCAGGUGUGCAGGGCCGGUUCUCCGGAGGCCCCUCCUUGCCCGCCCAGGACACAUUUCACAGACCCCGGUGCUCCCGUGUGUCCUCGCUUCAUUUAAGGGCGCCCACGGCCCCAACAGCCUCUCUCCACCUCAGCCCUCCUCACAGGCCCCACCUCCAGGCACCUGGGGUGAAGGACACUUCAGUCCACGCUGUCUCCGGUCAGACGUAAGUUCCCUGAGGACAGGGCUUGGACACGGGGGUCCCUCCAGCAGAGUGCCUCCAGACACCCAAGCGCACCUUCUCCUGCUGACAUGGGUGCAGCUUUGGUGAGGUGGUUGGCUAAGGGGCUCGCACACUCAUGCACACGGGAAUCCACCGUCAAACACACAUGCAAUCCACGCAGGAGAUGGCAGGUUCCGUUUGAUGUCUGUGAGAAGCAGCCUGUGCGUGAACAUGUGCCUCUGAGUCCUCAGAGUGCUGGUGAGCUUCCAGGCAGGUCGAGGGAAGUCCGCCGGCUGUCUACUUUCAAUUCCACAUCUUUUGAAUAUGGUGCUUUCUCAAGAAAUAGGCCAGCAAACAUGGCCCUGAAGGCCUGGCCACCAGGCAGCCCCAGGGGACACACAACUUCCCCGUCAGGGGCUCAGGUUGGCUGCACAGCCCAUUCCCACCCCUCAGCCACAGACUAGGUGUUCAGUCCAGCCCUGUGCCCAGCGGCCACCUCCCGGGCUUGUGCCCACCGGUUCAGCAACACAGUAUCUGCCCACAUGUGGCACAUGUGGCACGUCCCCACAGGAGUGACACCACAUGUAACUGUGCUGUACAACCCCACUCCCAGGGGGCCCUGGACAGGAGGCCCACAGACACACAGGGCAGACAGAGGUCAGGGAGGCUGGUGGGGCUGUAGCCGGGCUGAGGAGGAAGUUCUGGAGAUGGACGGUGCGGUGGCCACACUCUCCAGUGGGCUUCAGAAUGUCCAGAUAGGAGGUGCCAGACAGCUGGUCAUCUCCUCUGUGGGCUGAGUGGACGGAGUCUGGCAGGGGGUGCCUUGGCGAUACUCUGGCCCCUCCCUUCUUGUUCCAGUGAGUUGACCUGCUGGCCACUCACCUGGGCCUGCCAACUCUGCCCAGCCUACCCCAUGAGCAUGUCCAGUGCUUCCAGAACAAGGACCAGACCCCCACACUGGGUGUGUCUGAGCAUAGGGGUGCUAUGAGACUUCAGAAGAGUCGUCUGAGUCCUGGGCAGUGGGGACAUCCCGCAGCGAGGCUGUUCCGCUCAUCCCCAGGCCUGAAUCCUGGGUUCCCAGCAAGGUCCUCAAGCACCAGUGCUCAGAAUGCCCCUGAACAAGAUACGUGGUCAAACUGGGCAUGGUGACCACACCAAUGACCCCAGUGACUCAAGAGGCUCUAAAGUUUGAGGCCAGCCUCAGCAACUUAGCAAGACUCUGUCUCAAAAUAAAAAGGGCUGAGGCUGUAGGUUGCAUAA